AUCUUGUAUUAAUGAGCUCUUCAGGUGAUUCAGAUCCAGGAUAAACAGGGUUCUUAUAGGGGGUUUGUUAAAACAGAUGGCUGGCCGUUUUUCUAAGUCCUCAAUCUAGCAGGUCUUCACUGGGACAAGAGACCUUCCUUUGAGGCACCAGGUCUAGAUACGGGAGAUCAUGGAGAAAAGAAGAGUGAUCAUAGCUUUAAAAGAGUCUUGGAAUGAAUUUAACUGGAAAAGAAGAGAGAGUGAGUUUAAAACGUACAACUAGAAGAGAAGAAGCCGUAUUUGCACCUUAAAGAUAUUGGCAAUCCAUCACCAUAUAUAGUUCAGUCCGUGUGGAGUUUAUGAAGAGAAACUUUGUUCUUGAGGAAAACUGCAAUCCAGACAUGCUGCUUGCUAUCUGGUAACAGAGUGUGAAUCAAAGAGACUAUGGAAAUGAUGUUAGACAAAAAGCAAAUUCAAGCAAUUUUAUUAUGCAAGUUGAAAAUGGGUUGUAAAGCAGUGGAGUGGAGACAACUCACAACAUCAACAAUGCAUUUGGCCCAGGAACUGAUAAUGUACUGAACAGUGCAGUGGUGAUUAAAAAAGUUUUGUAAAGGAGAUGAGAGCCUUGAAGAUGAAGAGCAUACUGGCUGGCCAUUUGAAGUUUGAGAAUGAUGAACUGAGAGCCAUAUUUGAAGCUGAACCUCUUACAACUACAUGAGAAGUUGCUGAAGAACUCAACACGGACCAUUCUACGGUGGUAUGGCAUUUGAAGUAAAUUAGAAAGGUGAAAAAGCUUGACAAGUGGGUGCCUUGUGAGCUGACCAAAAAUUAAAAAAACAAAAAAACAUCAUUUUGAAGUGUCAUUGUCUCUUACUCUAUACAACUACAGUGAACCAUUUUUCUAUCCAAUUGUGCCAUGCAAUGAAAAAUACAUUUUAUAGGACAACCAGACCAGCUCAGUGGUUGGGCCAAGAGGAAACUCCAAAGCACUUCCAAAAGCCAAACUUGGACACACACACACACAGACACAAAGCUCAUGAUCACUGUUUGGUGGUCUGCUGCCCAUCUGAUCCGCUACAGCUUUCUGAAUCCUGGUCAAGCCAUACAACCAGUGCUUUGAAAGUUCAAUGAACUGGGCUUUGAAGUUUUGCCUCAUCUGCCAUAUUCAGCUGAUCCCUCACCAACUGACUACCAA
This is a long non-coding RNA of Bubalus bubalis (water buffalo), 1174 nucleotides long. RefSeq lists it as uncharacterized. The record is from RefSeq and is a predicted model, not a curated record. The transcript has 3 exons. NCBI's taxonomy places the organism in Eukaryota, Metazoa, Chordata, Mammalia, Artiodactyla, Bovidae.